AGCAGCCGCGGUAAUUCCAGCUCCAAUAGCGUAUAUUAAAGUUGUUGCAGUUAAAAAGCUCGUAGUUGAAUUUCGGGAUUAGUACGNUGGUCGUGCCUUCGGUACGUACUGGUGUUACUGAUUCCUACCUUCUGACGAACCAUCAUGUCAUUAAUUUGGUGUGGUGGGGAAUCAGGACUGUUACUUUGAAAAAAUUAGAGUGUUUAAAGCAGGCUCGCGCUUGAAUACAUUAGCAUGGAAUAAUGAAAUAGGACGUUGAUCCUAUUUUGUUGGUUUCUAGGAUUGACGUAAUGAUUAAUAGGGAUAGUUGGGGGCAUUAGUAUUCAAUUGUCAGAGGUGAAAUUCUUGGAUUUAUUGAAGACUAACUACUGCGAAAGCAUUUGCCAAGGAUGUUUUCAUUAAUCAAGAACGAAAGUUAGGGGAUCGAAGACGAUCAGAUACCGUCGUAGUCUUAACCAUAAACUAUGCCGACUAGGGAUCGGAUGAUGUUAUUUUUAAUGACUCA
This 505-nucleotide ribosomal RNA is filed under the name uncultured Glomus. Its description in RNAcentral is "SSU rRNA". It matches the Rfam family "Eukaryotic small subunit ribosomal RNA", at positions 569 to 1078 of the family's 1831-position model. The record is from RNAcentral. Lineage: Eukaryota; Fungi; Glomeromycota; Glomeromycetes; Glomerales; Glomeraceae.